This 508-nucleotide ribosomal RNA is filed under the name uncultured bacterium. RNAcentral's name for it is "partial 16S ribosomal RNA". It matches the Rfam family "Bacterial small subunit ribosomal RNA", at positions 28 to 507 of the family's 1533-position model. The record is from RNAcentral.
GACGAACGCUGGCGGCGUGCCUAAUACAUGCAAGUCGAACGCUUCUUUCCUCCCGAGUGCCUGCACUCAAUUGGAAAGAGGAGUGGCGGACGGGUGAGUAACACGUGGGUAACCUACCCAUCAGAGGGGGAUAACACUUGGAAACAGGUGCUAAUACCGCAUAACAGUUUAUGCCGCAUGGCAUAAGAGUGAAAGGCGCUUUCGGGUGUCGCUGAUGGAUGGACCCGCGGUGCAUUAGCUAGUUGGUGAGGUAACGGCUCACCAAGGCCACGAUGCAUAGCCGACCUGAGAGGGUGAUCGGCCACACUGGGACUGAGACACGGCCCAGACUCCUACGGGAGGCAGCAGUAGGGAAUCUUCGGCAAUGGACGAAAGUCUGACCGAGCAACGCCGCGUGAGUGAAGAAGGUUUUCGGAUCGUAAAACUCUGUUGUUAGAGAAGAGCAAGGACGUUAGUAACUGAACGUCCCCUGACGGUAUCUAACCAGAAAGACACGGCUAACUACGUG